CAAACUCCUACGGGAGGCAGCAGUAGGGAAUUUUUCCCAAUGGACGAAAGUCUGAUGGAGCAACGCCGCGUGAGUGAAGAAGGGUUUCGGCUCGUAAAACUCUGUUGUUAAAGAAGAACAUAUCUGAGAGUAACUGUUCAGGUAUUGACGGUAUUUAACCAGAAAGCCACGGCUAACUACGUGCCAGCAGCCGCGGUAAUACGUAGGUGGCAAGCGUUGUCCGGAUUUAUUGGGCGUAAAGCGAGCGCAGGCGGUUUUUUAAGUCUGAUGUGAAAGCCUUCGGCUCAACCGAAGAAGUGCAUCGGAAACUGGGAAACUUGAGUGCAGAAGAGGACAGUGGAACUCCAUGUGUAGCGGUGAAAUGCGUAGAUAUAUGGAAGAACACCAGUGGCGAAGGCGGCUGUCUGGUCUGUAACUGACGCUGAGGCUCGAAAGUAUGGGUAGCAAACAGGAUUAGAUACCCUGGUAGUCCAUACCGUAAACGAUGAAUGCUAAGUGUUGGAGGGUUUCCGCCCUUCAGUGCUGCAGCUAACGCAUUAAGCAUUCCGCCUGGGGAGUACGGCCGCAAGGCUGAAACUCAAAGGAAUUGACGGGGGCCCGCACAAGCGGUGGAGCAUGUGGUUUAAUUCGAAGCUACGCGAAGAACCUUACCAGGUCUUGACAUACUAUGCAAAUCUAAGAGAUUAGACGUUCCCUUCGGGGACAUGGAUACAGGUGGUGCAUGGUUGUCGUCAGCUCGUGUCGUGAGAUGUUGGGUUAAGUCCCGCAACGAGCGCAACCCUUAUUAUCAGUUGCCAGCAUUAAGUUGGGCACUCUGGUGAGACUGCCGGUGACAAACCGGAGGAAGGUGGGGAUGACGUCAAAUCAUCAUGCCCCUUAUGACCUGGGCUACACACGUGCUACAAUGGAUGGUACAACGAGUUGCGAACUCGCGAGAGUAAGCUAAUCUCUUAAAGCCAUUCUCAGUUCGGAUUGUAGGCUGCAACUCGCCUACAUGAAGUCGGAAUCGCUAGUAAUCGCGGAUCAGCAUGCCGCGGUGAAUACGUUCCCGGGCCUUGUACACACCGCCCGUCACACCA
Molecule: ribosomal RNA, 1079 nt
Filed under: Lactiplantibacillus pentosus
Lineage: Bacteria; Bacillati; Bacillota; Bacilli; Lactobacillales; Lactobacillaceae
Description: bacterial SSU rRNA
Rfam family: Bacterial small subunit ribosomal RNA
Source: RNAcentral